Molecule: ribosomal RNA, 253 nt
Filed under: uncultured bacterium
Lineage: Bacteria
Description: partial 16S ribosomal RNA
Rfam family: Bacterial small subunit ribosomal RNA
Source: RNAcentral
UACGAAGGGUGCAAGCGUUACUCGGAAUUACUGGGCGUAAAGCGUGCGUAGGUGGUUUGUUAAGUCUGAUGUGAAAGCCCUGGGCUCAACCUGGGAAUUGCAUUGGAUACUGGCAGGCUAGAGUGCGGUAGAGGAUGGCGGAAUUCCCGGUGUAGCGGUGGAAUGCGUAGAGAUCCGGAAGAACACCGGUGGCGAAGGCGGCUCGCUGGGCAGUGGCUGACGCUGAGGCGCGACAGCGUGGGGAGCAAACAGG